This 712-nucleotide ribosomal RNA is filed under the name fungal sp. RNAcentral describes it as "eukaryotic LSU rRNA". The stretch from base 237 to 390 matches the Rfam family "5.8S ribosomal RNA". The record is from RNAcentral. Lineage: Eukaryota; Fungi.
UACUAGAGCAAAGGAUAGACAGCGCCCGCGGAGCUCGCUCCCGGGGCCACCCUACUCCGGUAGGGUUUAGAGUCGUCGGGCCUCUCGGAGAAGCUCGGUCCUGAACUCCACCCUUGAAUAAACUACCUUUGUUGCUUUGGCGGGCCGCCUCGUGCCAGCGGCUUCGGCUGUUGAGUGCCCGCCAGAGGACCACAACUCUUGUUUUUAGUGAUGUCUGAGUACUAUAUAAUAGUUAAAACUUUCAACAACGGAUCUCUUGGUUCUGGCAUCGAUGAAGAACGCAGCGAAAUGCGAUAAGUAAUGUGAAUUGCAGAAUUCAGUGAAUCAUCGAAUCUUUGAACGCACAUUGCGCCCUCUGGUAUUCCGGGGGGCAUGCCUGUUCGAGCGUCAUUAUAACCACUCAAGCUCUCGCUUGGUAUUGGGGUUCGCGGUUUCGCGGCUCCUAAAAUCAGUGGCGGUGCCUAUCGGCUCUACGCGUAGUAAUACUCCUCGCGAUUGAGUCCGGUAGGUCUACUUGCCAGCAACCCCUAAUUUUUUAAGGUUGACCUCGGAUCAGGUAGGGAUACCCGCUGAACUUAAGCAUAUCAAUAAGCGGAGGAAAAGAAACCAACAGGGAUUACCUCAGUAACGGCGAGUGAAGCGGUAACAGCUCAAAUUUGAAAGCUGGCUCUUUUAGGGUCCGCGUUGUAAUUUGUAGAAGAUGCUUCGGGUG